AUGAAAAGGAAAUCAAUAUAUUUCUUAUUGAAGGUAUAUGAAUGCGGCUUAAGCUUAAGAAUACAAGUUUUUAAGUUAAUUUGAAGUGGUACUUUUUAGUAAAAAAAAGUGACAAACAGUCAUGCUCAGUGUGUAAGUCUGUUACAUGCAUGUGGAUAUGAUGUAUGCUGAAACAAGGGUACCCAUAGUUUGUUGCUUUAGUAAUAUAUAUAUUGCUCUUUUACAAUUUGCGUUUUUUUCAGUGUUGAAUUAUACGAUUUAUAAAUGAAACGACUUUGAUAAUAUCAAAAGAAUACUUAAAUGUCUUUAUGAUUAUUAUGAAGAAAGUUAUUUACUGUGUAAGUGAAAUAAGAAACUUUACUGCAGAAGACAAGCUUAACUUGCAAAAUGACAUUUCCGAAUCUGAUUAGAAAUUAUAGAUUCGUAUAUCAAGGUUCACUUUUUACUUUGACGAAUACCUACCUAUGUUAAACGUUACUUUCUUACAUGUUUGUUUUUUAACUUUUAUAAGAGAGUAGUUUGGGUUGCCUACCGACACAUUCAAUUUCUGAGAGUUAAUUUUUGUUAUUUAUGUGAAUUUGACCAUCAAAGGUGACUUUUCAUUCGUACGACAGGUCCGGAUUAAAAUUAUUUGUGAGAUGUCUACUGACUACAAUUAAUAUUUCUGGUGAAGGUUGAAAUUAAGUUAAAAUUUUUAAUUGUAAUGUUUAGGUAAAAGUCUUGAAUGAAUUCCAAAGAUUGAUAAUAAUAGCGCAUGUUUAUUUUCCCAAAUUUAUCUAUUAAAGAUUUGGAUAUUUUUUGAAUAUGCGUUGAUAAAUUUUCAGCUAAUUUUACUCAAUUACACAAUAAAAUUAAAAUGCAUGCACUGAAUUUAAAAUUCAUCGUUUAAUUGCUCAGUAGUGUUAAUUGGCUCAACAUAAACUAAUUGUUUUAAGUGGACCCAUAAAAUGUCUGAAGGGUUAAGUUAUAAAUAUUUUUUAUUGAAAUGUGUUUGCUUUUUUUCUACUUUAGAAUGAUCAAUGAAUUGGUAAAUAAAAUAUUAACGUAUUUUUUAAGACUGAAAAUCUAAAUGAAGUUUUAUCUGAAGAAAGUUACUCUUUGAUUUAUAAUUAGAAUUCUAGUUUUUUUAUAUAACAUUUCAUUUUGGCCGUUUAGUUGCGAAACACCCUGUAUAAAUACUUAACUGUACUUGAAUUUUCAUUAUAAAUUUUCAUUUAUUUUCGGAAGUAAUCCAAUGAAAAUGAAUAAUAAAAAUUCUGUUUGAAUUUAAUAGUGGAAAUAUUUUCCUGAAUUCGGAUCUGCUUUGUUGAGUUGUUUAUUCUUCAAACGAAAUUGCUUUUACAUAUUGAAAGUGGAAAAUUAAAUGGCUUUUAACCGUAGAAGAAAUAAAUGUGACGAACUGUUGAAAGUAUGCGGUCUGGUAUCGCUGAGGGAGCGGGGUAAAGAGACUACGGUGAAAGGAACCGUUUGAAUGUUUUAUCUCAUAUCGUUAUCUCUUGAGAUUAUUAGCUUGGCAACAUGACUCAUGUUGUUUGAACGAUUGCUUACGAAAAUAAUAUAAAGACUUCUUAGGUAUAAUUUAGAAUAAAUAAUUAACAAAUGCUAAAUUGCAAGUUUUUUGUAUUAAUUAUUUUUUAAGUUCCAAUCUUGCUAAUAAUCCGCUAAACCAUUAUCUAUAAAUUGGAAAUAUAAAUAGGCGUUUAACAUAAAUAUUUUUUUCAUUUAGAUAUUUAGUUUUAUAUUUUUAUUUUUUCGUUAUUUCAAAAGCAGGUCUUUGUUUCAUUCUUAGAUAAUGUAUAUUUCUAAACAUAAUUUAAACCAGAAUAUUUAUUUUUCGUCUCUAAUGCUCUAUUUUUAAAGUGUUCUCCAUUUUUCUCGCUCUCGUAUACAAUUAUUUCUAGAGUUGUGGUCAGGCGAUAGAACUUGCAGGAAGUAAAACGUACGUAAUUUCAAUUUUGUAAAAGUGGGGUGGAAAGUCGUCAAGCAAUCGAUUAAAUUACGAAAUAUUUGCCGCGAACCGUCGCAGAAGUCUAAUAUGAUGCUUCUGCGUACCGUUUCUACGUCAUUACCGCUUCGGGCAGUAGCAUUCUUGCAAGCCUGUUAGCAGUGUCCAGUGCAUAAGUGUAUCUCGUUUCUGUAGUCCGCUGGUCUAUGCUGUCUAUAAACGAAGACGAUGCCUGAAGGCUUGCUGUGAUAACAACCUAGGAUUGGAUAGACAAACUAUUUUAUUUCCAAAAAUGCCUCUAAUGAGCUGAUUGAAAAAUUCAAUGGACAUGAUAUGUUAACAAUGGUUUCCAUUAAAACAUAAAGAUGAACAUGAGAUAAAUCAAAACGAGUCGACACGUGGAGUAACAGAGCCCCACUCAUACUUUCUUCUCUUGGACUUGGAAAGGGCGGUUGUAUUUAUGAACUGGUUAUCAUUUAAACACGUUAAAUGAACAAGGAGACAAACAAGUAAGAAGGAUUCGAAACCUGGAGAAGCGAAGUCCCGUUAAUGUUUUUUAGGAAAAACAUGCAGUUUAAUCAUACUGGUGUACACAAGAUUGCACAUGUGACGUUGUGUCUUCUGCUCUGUGGCUCAUUUCACCAUCAGCGGUAUUAGUAUUCCUUUCAACUGCUGUCAACGCUUAGGACUCGAGCACCUUCGGUAUUCGUCGAGAUUGUUCAACAAAUGCAAAAGAAAUAAAGUUCAGUUUGGUCCUACCAAUGUCUACUGGGGCGGCAUCUUUCCUGGAUUGUAUUCUAGAUUAGCUGUUUACAUCUUUGCCUUGCAACAUUAUGAAGUUAAUUUUCAACUGAUGUGUGAGAGCAACUGGAGAUUAAUUUGAAUUCCAUGGAAACAACAAAUUUUCUGCGAUGGUAUCUCUGCCGGAUUUGUUUUGCUUUUUACACCUUCAAAGUUUGGAACGUUACAGUCCACAGUUAAUUAAGAUCGACGCUGGAGAAGACAAAGAAGAUCCCGUAGUUAAAA
Agrilus planipennis (emerald ash borer) is the source of this 2971-nucleotide long non-coding RNA. RefSeq lists it as uncharacterized. The transcript is spliced from 6 exons. NCBI's taxonomy places the organism in Eukaryota, Metazoa, Arthropoda, Insecta, Coleoptera, Buprestidae. The record is from RefSeq and is a predicted model, not a curated record.